RNAcentral lists this ribosomal RNA (253 nucleotides) under uncultured bacterium. RNAcentral's name for it is "partial 16S ribosomal RNA". It matches the Rfam family "Bacterial small subunit ribosomal RNA", at positions 524 to 776 of the family's 1533-position model. The record is from RNAcentral.
UACGUAGGGUGCGAGCGUUGUCCGGAAUUAUUGGGCGUAAAGGGCUCGUAGGCGGUUUGUCGCGUCGGGAGUGAAAUCCACUGGCUUAACUGGUGGCUUGCUUUCGAUACGGGCAGACUGGAGGUAUGCAGGGGAGAACGGAAUUCCUGGUGUAGCGGUGAAAUGCGCAGAUAUCAGGAGGAACACCGAUGGCGAAGGCAGGUCUCUGGGCCACUACUGACGCUGAGAAGCGAAAGCAUGGGGAGCGAACAGG